Molecule: long non-coding RNA, 1491 nt
Organism: Dermacentor andersoni
Lineage: Eukaryota; Metazoa; Arthropoda; Arachnida; Ixodida; Ixodidae
Source: RefSeq, a predicted model, not a curated record
UUCAGUUUUUACUGUCCCUAAAUAUGUGCUGGCUGUUUGUUUAAUAUUUCUGUUUAAAGUCAAGUCCUUCUGCAGACAAGACAACAUGUAGUAAUAAACUUUGACCAAGCUGUGGAUCUACUGCAUGCUUCUACUUCUCUGACGCCUGCCUGUUGUUGUGCAUGGUUUCCUUGAAAGUACAUUUAUGAUUUUUUGCUAUACAGCUCGUUCAAACACUUAGCUACCUUAUAUAAAAUUGUUCAAAGCGUUAAUCUAGUGCCUAAUAUUUUCCAAAUUGAUUUUUUAUAUAGGCGAAAUGAAGAACGCAACAUGGCAGUGUCAUCUUUGUUGUGACCGGGCUGUCGCGUUUUGGAGAAAACUGAUAGCUCCUUCUGAACAGCAGAAAGUUCAGGGUGCAACAACGCCGAAUAACCAUGGAAAGCAGCAGAGCCAGAAACAUGAAAUUGAAAAGCUCCUCACAUACACCAAAGAAACAAAUAUUUAGGCGACGCCACACACCACGCCACGUCUGUUACGUACUUCCGGUACUCCGAAACCUGAAUGCCGGUAGUGGCCGCGGCACCGACAAGCCUACGCCACGUGUAUCGCUGCACACCGCGCACUAUGGUAACGAUGCCAAUCCACCGGAAUAAACGCUUACUUCAGUGUUAUUUGUUUACAGAUUCAUUCGUAAAGGUGCCAGCAGUCAUGGAACUGAAACACAAGCCAUUGCGCAUGCCGUGUUCCAGCCUGCACACGCCGCCAACAGAAUUAUUAUUGGAUCCGAGAACCAAAGACGGGCUCGGCAGUCCCCGUUGUUUUCACCUCCGCGCUUGUCGAAACACUCGUGUCCUCACAUCAUAACCUACGGCUAGUUUUGGGACGGAUAUCUGGACAUCAAGGGAUGGGAGUCACUGAGCAAGCACAUUUGGUAAUGCACGUUGAUCCUACAUUGAGCGCCCGUCUUCGAUGGCGAAAUGCUCUUACCAGUGAAGGUUGUCGAGUUGCGCACCGCGAACAAUACAAAUCAAAUAGGCCCAUGAAUUCCCAAGGAUAAUCCUGACACCCUCUCACCCAUUUUCCCGUGCAAAUGCAUCACUCACCUGGCAAUCACAGGCCCUGACGUCACUAUCACAAUAAUUAUUGACAGUGAGCACAGUUCAUGUGAUUCCAUUUGUCAUAUUUGUGAACACUAGCGUAGCACGGUACACGGGAACUUGCAGUGUCGGUAAGCACCCUAAUCUGACACCAUACAGGUAUUAUCAACCACGCCAGUUUGCAAAUGCGUCUCUUACGCUUCGAGGAGCUAGGCAGCGCCAACCAAAAAUCUUCGCCACACCCUGUCGCUUCCUAUAGUGUGCCACGUCCACAAUCUCCAGAGGGCAGUCGCUCCCGUCCCAUUUACAGUAGCGGAGAGCGCCACAACGACAAGCGACGACUCGUAUUAGAAGUCACAUUAAUUUUUUUUCUGCGAAUGUCUCUUAUCAUUCAAGCUGCGCACAUAAAUUCGCC